Molecule: long non-coding RNA, 13241 nt
Organism: Brassica rapa (field mustard)
Lineage: Eukaryota; Viridiplantae; Streptophyta; Magnoliopsida; Brassicales; Brassicaceae
Source: RefSeq, a predicted model, not a curated record
AAAUUAAAAUGAUAAAUAUAGUAAUAGUAAUGAUUAGGAUUUAGGAGUGAGAUUUAAAUAAAUAAAAGAAUUGACUAAAUUAUUGUUAGAGAAAUAUAUGGUAACAUAUUGUUAGUAUAAAUUUAAGGUAAAACCAAAAAAUAAUGAGUUAAAUGAAAUGGUCCAAACAACUUUUAUAUGUAGAUUUUUUUAGACUCCUUCCCUUUUAAUAGUAUUGAUUAACAUUUACAUGCAAAAACACUUAUGAAUAUAAUAAAUUAUUAAGUUAAUGUUACAGAAAAGAGAAACAAAAAGGAACAUUAAAUAAAUAAAUAAACAAAAAUAUAUAUAAUAUAUUUGCAACAAAUUAAAAUAUAUAAGUUAGGUGUAGCACAUUAAAAUAUAUAAGUUAGGUGUAGCGCAUAAAAAUAUCUACUAUUUCAUAUAAUAAUUUUCAGAUAAACAACAUAAAACGUUAACUACCUGAAUGAAAACAUUAUCUUACAUUCGUUCAAAGCUUUAAAGAAUCAUAUUUAUAAAUUUAAAACUAAAAUUCAGUAAAGUAUUUAACUAAAAAUUAUCUCAAAAAGAAUUUUGAUUUCUUCUCUAAAUGUAGUAUAAAUUUCUAUCAAAAUAAAUUAACAUUUAUGUCCAAAAUUCUGUCAAAACUUAGAAACUUUGUAUAUACUAAAGAAAAUAAUUAAUGAAACUUUGUAGCUUGCGGGGGUGUACUAUUGAAACAGAUUAUCAUAUACUAUUACACUAAAAAGAUUAAAAUAUGUUUGUCGCUUUUGAUUACGCUCAGUAAAACGCAUUACAAAUAACUUUUUUAAAACUAUUACCUCCAGUCUAUAUAUGAUUAUAUUUUUACAUCAUUAUUAUAAUAUUAUACCAAAAAGUUUGUGUAAGGAUUAGUUUAAGUUAAAGCAUCACCAAUCAAUGCAUUUUCAGAACGUUAUGCAAAUUUUAGGAAAUUUCUAAUUUUGAUUUCUGCUAUUCCAAAUCCAUCUUGAGUUGUUUAAAAUAAUAAUGGAAGUAUGUUUCUACUCUAACAUACAAACAAUAUUACGAGGUUAUAUAUUUUCGACACAAUACGAAUGACUAAUAUAUCUGCAUAUGUGAAAUGCAUUUAUCUAUCCAGAGUACUUUCAUAUAGUAUUAAAUAUGGCAUUGUUUACAUAUUGAAAUCUCCUACACAUAUCACAUUUCAUACAAUAAAUAUUUAUUUUCAAAAUAAUAAAUACCAAACAAAUUUUAGUAUUGAAAGUAAACUUUAGUUUCUAAAGUUUAAUGAUUUAUUCAAUCAUUUUUAUUGGUCAUCAAACUUUAAAAAUAUUUAAGUUUUCAAAAAUGAUUACAUAUUUAAGAAUAUAUAUAUAUAUAUAUAUAUGUGUGUGUGUAUGUAUAUGAAAUGAAGGUUAUUUACCUAUCCUUCAAAUAAUAGUUUAAAAUUAAAAUCAGAUGAUGUAUAAACAGAUAUAUGAUACAUAAAAAUAAUAGAAAAUAUUAAAACAUGAUUCCUACAAUAUUAAUUUAAAUUUAAACUAUGUUUACAUCUAAAAUAUAUAUUAAUGAUAUUUUAAACAAAAGUUUAUAAAUCUUUCAAAACAUUCAUUCUACUUUGUUAAAAUUAUAUCAAAAUAAAUAAAUGUUAAUUAAAUCUUGAUGUUUAAGUUUACAAUUAAAAAAUUAAUAAAUUUUAUAGACAACCAAACCGCGCGUAGCGCGGUAAAAUCUCUAGUUUAUGUAAAUUUAGCAUUUUGUGUCUAAAUUACGUAGCUCUGGUAAUUAUUUCUUUCUAGUCAUGAUAUUAUAUAUUUGAAAAAGCUAUUAUUCCACUAUAUAUAUUAAAAAGAAAAACUAAAGCGGUGGUUACACCACACGUGAUUAGUAAAAUUUGAGUAGGGUCUUACCAAUAAACUAUAUAAAUAUAAUACCAGUCGCGAUUUUAGGCCUACUAUAAUCUGCUUAUAUAAAGGAUAUGAAUGCAAAAGUAAGCACGUCUUCACAAAAUUUAGAAAAAAAAUCAUAGAGUCAAAUGUAGGGAGCGAGUAGAGACACGUGUGGGGUUUCCUAUCAAAUUUUGAUUCCAUAUUAUGAAGUUUUUAACAUCUACUUUAAAUGAUUUAUUUGUAUGAGUAUAAAGGGAACAAAUAUAGAUUUGAUGAUUCUAGUAUGUUGUAACUUGCAAGUAGAACUGGUAAUUAUGGUCUCAUAUGUUAAAAGAUAAAAUAUAAAAUUAUUUAUCAUGGACAUAAAUACAUUUAAAAUCUUUUAUUAUAGAUAUGUGUAUUGUCGGAAGAGUUUUAUCAUAGAAUUGUUCUUUCUUUUUUUUUUGACAUCUCAUAGAAUUGUUCAAGACCAUCCUAAUAUAGAUUGAUCAUUAAUGAAUAAAAAUAUAUAUAGAGAAUAGUAAAUUACAAGCUGAUAAAAAAAAUUCACAGUUUCACAUUACUUGCAUAAGAAUACGAGAGCAUCUCCAAAAGCUUCUUUAUGACUUCAAAUAUAAGGUUUUGUGCAUUCUAAAAGCAAUCUUAAAACUUUAAAUUUUAAGAUCUUUUACUGUAUAAUACCUUAUAUUAAAGGUUUUAUAUUUUUCUAAUUCUUUUACUUAUAUAAUUUUCAAAUAAUGUUAAUAUUUUUUUGUUUAAUCAUUUUAGUCCUUUUUAAUACAAAAUAUUUAAUUAAUACUACAAAACAAAUAGUCUACAAAGGCUAAAUAAUGUUAUUACCUGAUAUAAUAAACAGCGUAUAUUAUUAUGCAUAACAUGAUUAUUGAAGAUGAACGUGAGAUCAAAAUCUUUUAAUUGAUUAUAUGUGGGAUCAUUACAGAGGUAAUUAUAAUGAAUAAUUAUAAUUUAUUUAACUUUAAUGAACUAUUUUGUAUGUUUUUAUUUACCAGCAGUAUUUUACUAUAAUAUAAUAUUUUGUUUAAAAUACUUUUGCUGUAUAUUUUAUAGUUAUUGUAAAAAAAUUAUGAUUUUAGUUAAGUUUUAUUAAACAUAAAGACUAUUAUAUAAAAUAAAAAAAAUUUAAGAUUUACUAUAAGAUUUUUCUUUUGGAGAGAAACAACACCUUCAAACUUUAGAUUUGAGGUUUUGCUAAAUUUUAAAAUAAAAAAACUUUUGGAGAUGCACAAAACCGAUUUACACUUUUUUUUUAAAGUCUGAUUAAUUAAUUAUGUUAUUACAACGAUGAGAAAUAUUAUAUAGAUGAUUUUACAACCCAUAAUUCUACCACCUUAUGAAAAUACACGUCUAAUUACACCACUUCGAACCGUCAUAUGUUCGAUGAUACACCGUACACCAUGUUGAAGAUCUUUUGCUACCAUUUUUUUCAUAAUAUGCCUUGUAUUUUUUGAGCUUUGAAUCCCAUAUCUUGGGUGUAAAACCAUUAGUGAAGUUUUAGUCAAAUCGCUGGAGGUUCCAUCGGUUUAUACUUAUUAGAGAGAAAUACCAGAAACAUAUAGUCGGAUAAUGUUACAUGGGUAACCGGGACUUCUACCUCUAGUGGUAAAGGGCUUAUAGAUGUGAGUAUCGCCACCUGGGUUCGAAUCCCGGCCACUGGGGAAUUAACAUUUCGGUAUCGCCAGGGACAGAGGAACGACACGUGGCAACACGUGACUAGUCUGGAUCACUUCUGUGGGGCCAAGAUACCUCUGUAUAAUUCAAAAAAAAUAAUAAUAAUGUUACAUGGGCCUUCAACCGAUUUUUUAAUAGACCUCUACGUUAAUAAGAACCGGGCUCGUUAUCUCGUGGACUGAAAGACGGUUUAUACUUCUGUUGACCAUGUGUAUCAGCCGGAAUUUUUUUUUCUCUGGUAUAGUUCGGUCCAAAAUUAUAGAGUUAUCACCGAUGAAAUUUCAAUUCAACUUUUGAUUUAAAGAAAAUGACCCUUUCUUAUAUAUUUGUGUAAACAUGAUCAAAGGGUUUCCAAGUCAUUCGAUAUAUUUGUGUUUGUGUGUCUUGGAAGAGUAUAGGAUAUGGUAAAAUUUUAAAAAUAAACACUUAAAAUUUAUAUAACAGCCACGAAUAUAUUCAACAUCUACAAUAUUAUAUGAUUAUUACUAAACCGACUAUUAGCUAUAGACAGCGUAACUAAAGAUUAGACGGUCAAGAAAAUAUAAGACAAGAAUCAUCAUAUCAUAUUGCUUUCAAUGCAUACAAUUAUUGACCAACGCAGUUUCAAGCUACUCUUCGGUUACUAACUAGUGAGCUAAAUCAAUCUUGUUUAACUUGUAGAACUGGAAUUUGGUGAUGGUAAAUAGUUCUGACUUUGGCUGAAUAUGAAAAUUGGACUAGUAUGAAAAUUUCAGAUGAGUACUCUCCGUAACCGUAAGUGCCAAACAAGCAACUAGCCUCAACAUAAAACAAGAUUUUUAUUUUUGGCUGAAAAGUAUAAGAUAAACCAAUUAUAAAUUAAACAGAUAUUGAUUUGGUAUUUACCAAAGUAACUCAGUGUGAUGUUUAUCUAAUAGAUCAACCCCUAGAAAAAUCAAUGUGAUGCUGUAUCUCGAAUACACAUGAUCAUAUUAAUUAAAAAUCGAAUCUAGUUCCAAAAAGUGGAAAUAUUAAAGCUCAAAGAUUAAUACCUUAGCCCUUUCUCAAAAAAAAAAAAGGCUUAAUAGCUUUCUGACCAGUUACUAAUCAAAUCAAAAUGAUGUGAAAUUAAAUUCAAAAAGGAGAAAACUAAACCGAAGAUUCCAAUCACCUUUUAUUGAUUUAUUUCUUUUCACACUAGAACCACGAAAGUAGUUUUUCAUUAUUCGUCGGAUAUAAAUAAAAUUCGACAUAGAUGUUAGACCUCGUUGGCACGAGCUUGCACUAUCCCAUCGCACCUACCGCUAAUCAUCUGCUCGUUGAUUGUUAAAAAAAUCUUACAUAUAAUAUCUGACCAGUUUUGCUUUUAAUCGAUAUAUAUUUAUCCAUCUUGGUUGGAAAUUGUUAUGAAUUUUCAACCGAUCAUCUCUAAUGUUUUUCCUCAUUUCUUUCUUUUUAUUUUGAGUAUGAAUUUUGCUCCAAUAGGUUUUUUUUUCGUUUUCCCCAUAAUUCUUAAUAUAUUUAUUUUUCAAUUGCUUGUUUAUUUCUGAUAACACCAUUUGUUUGAUAAGAUUUAAAAUUAUACUCACUUGUUUUAAUUUUUAACUAAACCUUAACUUUAUCAAAAUGAAAUAUUUAUUAUAUUAGUAAAAUUGCAUAACCACAAAGAAAACAAUAGUAGAGUUCUAUUUAAUCAUUACUAUUUUGUCAAGAAUUGUUCUAUGUUGUAUUAAGUUUGUUUGUGUGUUUUUUUUUGUUUUUUUAUAGUACUUCUAUAUUCUUAAUGUUAUUAUUUAUUCUUUUAUUAUAUUUUAAUUUUAUAUAUAGCCUUACUGAAUUAUAAAAUUUAUAUUUAAGUAUUUAACUAACGUCAUUUAUAAUUAAGUUUUAAAUUUUAAUCAUUAUAUACAUAUUAAAUAAAAAAUUUAAAAUUAUGACAAAAAAGUUUUUAAAGCAAUAUUUUGUAUAAUGUUUUUUGCUUUUGCAUUAAACAAAGUUUUGUUAAAACUUUAAAGAUUAUUAUGCAAAUAAAAAAGUUCAACAUUACAAUAAGUUUUUAAAUAUACUAAAUAUUAUUCCCUCAAAUAUUAUAUAACACUAUUCAUAUAUGUACCUCAAAAAUAAUGUACUAUUACAGAGAAUUUUUCCUCAUUUUUUAUAUUUUCCAACAAUUUGAUAUACCAUUGGAGAUGUCCUUAUCCCAUACCCAUAAUCACCUUUUCGUUGGUUAACAUGACAGAUAUAUAUAGAUAUAAGCAUCCAGUAUUUUUUUCAUAAACUAUUGAACUACAUUUUUCAAAAAUAAAUGAGUUUGAGAUAAUAUGUAUUGUUUGGUUACGGAAGCAACCAUUCCAAGGUUGGUUUAUUGAAUGUCUAUCUCUUUCUAAUAAUGAUUUUUAGUUUUUUUUUCUCCAUAGUCCUUGUGGGUUGGUUAGUUAAGGAUAAGAUUUAUGUAUAUGAUUAAUGCUGAGAAAUUGAUAAAGGUAAUAAGAGCAAAUGAGUAAGCGAUACACACUAAAUGACAGUGAAUCAAAGAAAACAUCCACAUAAAAGAUCUUAAUAUGCCUAUAUUUUAAUAUUAAAAAUUUGGAUUAGUGCCUUGAUAUAAUUAUCUUUGAAAUUAGUUAGUGUAAGAUAGUAACAAAGAGAGAGAAUAUUUUCAAAAAAAAAAAACAAAGAGAGAGAAAAAUAAAGGAAAAUUUUAAUAAAGAGAAGUGAUCAGAAAGUGAUAAACUUAGAGUAUUUGUACUCCCUACACACAACUUCCUCUCUAUUUGCACUCCAUACACUAUUUCCCCUCAAUUUUUUUCCCCCUAACACUACCAUUUUCCCUCAAUUCAAUGGUAUCCCACUCUUUUCAGUGUAUUGAGCUAAUUUGCUCAUAAACUUAAGGGUCAAUUUUUUUGUCGGCAAAUCCGUUAUGUUCGGACUGUCUCCCUUUUGAAGCGAUAUUUAGCUUCUAUGAUCGCGAUCGGAAAAGAUGGUGUGUAAUAAUCAUCAUUUGUAUGUUAGUGUAUCUUGCAUCUAUCAAUGUUUUUUUGUCAAGAAAAGCAUAUAUAUAUGCAUGUAUUUAAGAUGAAACGUAGUAUAUAUUCCUUUUCUUCGAACUGUUUUCGAUUAGUUUUUUUUUUGUUGACGAUUACUUUUAUUUACUUGUAGAGACUACACCAACGUUUUUUUUUAAACACAAUCAUCAAGGUUCUAUUUGUUAAUUUUAUCAACAGAAUCAAUAUUAAUUAUUAAGUUUAUAUUCUCAUAUGGUCGAACAAAACUGUAUUCUUUCUUCUUUCUUUGAGUCUGGCUUUUUCUGGGGUUGACGGAUGAAACACUGACAUUUAAUCAGCUUUUCGAGACGUUUAUGUUUUGAGUAUUAGUUUGUUUGUAGUUUUUUUUAGGGAAAUUGGGCUGUAUAACCACCAAAAAAAUUAUAAUUCAAUCUAUAACUAAAAACCCUAUUUUUUUACUGUAUCAUGUGUCUUUUAUAUAAUAUUGCCGUAUUGCCCUCUGUUGUAACCGGUAAAACCUGCAAAAAAAAAAUUAAUAAUCAUUAUAUUUUAAAAAUAAUUUGUGUCCAGUAGAAAGUUACACAUCCACACAUAAUUUUUUCUUCUUCUUCCCUGUUUCUUCGUGUUCCUCUCUCUCUCUCUCAAAUUUCUGUUUUUUUUAUACGACGAACACAUAAAUCUCUGUCACAUAGCUUCAAUCACCUCUACAUGUACAACCAGCACAACCAUCAUCAUCAUCGUUUGUUUCAUCGCCGCCACCGUAUUUGCUCCGUCAUCAUCUCCGUAAUUUUUACCUUUCUUCUUUUUCGAGAAAUUAAAUCGUUUGAUUCUCAGAUUUGGGAGAGAGCAAUGAGACGGACACGAUUAUCAGAGUUGAUUUUUGCAAGAGUAUAACAUCUUUGCAUUCUCGGUGGGUGGCUGAAGGGGAGGUUUCUCUGAUUGUGAAAUCGAUGGUGUCUUGUUUGACGGAAGAGGCGACACGGCAACAUGAAGUAACAACGGCAAGUUCUUCUUCCCAGAUGUGUCUUGUUGUUUUCUACCUUUUUGUUACUAUACUAUUUUAUUAUGUUCUAUUACAUUUGACGAUUAAUAAAGAGUGUUCUAUUUUGUUUAGAAAUAUAUUUUGUAAUUUUCUUAAUAUCUAACUAUCAUUACAUGUUUUCAAUCUGUAAAAACCGUACUAUGAUUUAUAUUGUAUAGUUUAAUAUUAUAUAAUAUGAUUUAAUAUUGCAUAAUAUUGCAUACAUUUUGAUAUUUUGAUAUUUGGGUUUAGGGUUUAGGGUUUAGUGAUUAUAGUUUAGGGUUUACUAAUUAGAAGGUGAGGGGUUAUGGUUGGAGUCAUUAUUAACUUCUUUCAUGCAAUCAUAGAUAUUUCAUAAUUUCACCAGUAUGUACUAUUCUAUUUAUUUUGUUCCAUUCUAUUUGGGUUUAGGGUUUAUAUUUGGAUUUAUGGUUUAUAUUUGGGUUUAGGUUCGCUGAUUAGAGUUUAGGGUUUAGUAUUUUAGGGGAUGGGGUGGGGUUGGGAUAAAGUUUAGGGUUCACUGAUUAGAGUUGAGGAUUUAGUAUUGGAACUACAUUUUCUCUAUUUCUAUUCUAUAAGACUCAUGUAGAAUGGUAAUGUAUUUUACUGGCAUUUUAAAAUUUGAGUUUAGUUUAUGGAAAAUUGGGGUUAAACACUGGUUAAGGUUUAGAUUUUGAUAUUUGGGUUCAUAUUUGUUCCAUUCUAUUUGGGUUUAGAGUUUAUAUUUGGAUUUAUAGUUUAUAUUUGGGUUUAGGUUCGCUGAUUAGUGUUUAGGGUGUAGUAUUUUAGGGGAUGGGGUGGGGUUGGGAUAAAGUUUAGGGUUCACUGAUUAGAGUUGAGGAUUUAGUAUUGGAACUACAUUUUCUCUAUUUCUAUUCUAUAUGACUCAUGUAGAAUGGUAAUGUAUUUUACUGGCAUUUUAAAAUUUGAGUUUAGUUUAAGGAAAAUUGGGGUUAAACACUGGUUAAGGUUUAGAUUUUGAUAUUUGGGUUAACGUUUAGUGAUUAGAGUAUAGGGUUUAGGGUUUAUUAUUUAGAAGGUGAGGAGGUAUGGUUGGGAUCAAUAUUAACCUCUUCCAUAAAAUCAUAGACAUUUCAUAUUUUCACCAAUAUGUACUAUGUUAUUUAUUUUGUUUCAUUCUAUUUGGGUUUAGGGUUUAUGUUUUAGUUUAGGGUUUAUAUUUACGUAAGGGUUUAGUAAUUCGGGUUUAGGGUUUAGCAUUUAGAAGGUGACGGGGUAUGUUUGAGGUUAACAUUAAUUUCUUCAAUGCAAUUAUAGACAUUUCAUAAUUUCUUCAAUAUGUAUUAUGUUAUUUAGUUUUUUCUAUUUUAUUUGGAUUUUGGUUUAAAAUUUAGAUUUAUUAUUUAUAUUUGGGUUUAGGAUUUAUUGAUUAGAGUUUAUGAUUUAGUAUUUAGGGGUUAAGGUGUGAUUAGAAUAAGGUUUUGUAUCUAGGGUUUGGGGUUGGGAUAUGUUUAGUAUUACAGAUUGUAGAUUAUGUUAUAUAAUCUAUACUAUUUCGGUUAUAUGGAAUAGAGCAUUCGGUGUAUGUGUAUGUGACUAAUAAAAGUGUAACGUGGAUGAUUCCUUCUUUCUAAUGAAAUAAGACUACGUGGACACACAUAACACAUUAUUACCGGAUAAUGGCAAAGAGGAAGGGUAUAACCGGAUGAAUUAGGAUGUAAAUGUUAGUUUCUAUAUUAUGUCAAAAUCAAUGUCACUCACUUAAUUUUUCUUCUAAAUAUGGCUAGUUGGCAAAUAAGCCCUUUUUUAUUGUUGUUAAUAUAUUGAAAUAAUUAAGUCUUAACUUUAAUUAAGAGACUUUUGUGGCGUAAUUUAAGGUCCAAUUCAUCUAAUUUAACGUUUUUUUCAGCCAACACCCAACAAUACGUGCAUGGCAAAAAAAAAAUUUUUUGACUAAGGCUGCAUGGCAAUUUUGGAUUCCAUGAAAUCAAAUUUCUAUGUAUACAAAUUAGGAAAACAAUAUGAACGUUUCACCAACACAACAGCAAUGCCAUGGAAGAUAUAUACAUGAAUUUUUAAGUCGUGCGUUGUUGAAAUUUUGCAUCCCUUUAAAGCUAAUACAUGCCUUUUACUAUACUUAGCAAUUCUUCGAAUUUUAAUCAAAGAUAUGUUUAUGUGUAUAUAUUUAUUAUGGCGUUAAGGUGAAAUCGUCAACUUGGUGUGAACUGGGAAGAAAUACCUAAUCCAUCGAACCAUACCUUAUAAUUAUCAUUAAAAUGUAAUCUAUAUAUAUAAAAAAUUGUUGGUCUCACUCCUGGUGAAGCCACCUCAGCAUCCAGCUCAGAAAGUCAAGCUCCCUGGAUGCAACACGUGUCUCAUCUCACAAUGUGCUGCGUUUCAUUUAUGAUUGUUCUUAAUAUUUGUGGGCUUCAUGUUUGGGCUUUCUGUUUAAUCAGAAAUUCGAGCCCAAAAGCGACAAAACCACUAUCGUCUUCCUCGACUUCACGGUAAAUUUAGAGUUCAUUCUCCUCUUCAAUCUCCGACAACAGGUAAAAUAACAUGUAACCAUGUUCUAAUCAUCCGAAACGGUAACGCGUAACCCUAAUCUGUUUGGCUCAUCCUUCUUCUCCAACCUCUAACCUUCGCCGUCUUAGGCUCUGCAAAUCCUACAUUCGAAACGGAUACUCUCAGCUUUCAAACAGAUGUGGUUAGAACAAUAACCUUUCGGUUAACCGAGCUAACCAGUAUCACCGAGUUACAAUUGACUUCGUCCAGCUAACGGAGCAACCAACGUUGCAAGCGAUGGAGCAAGUGGCGAUAGCGGCGGAGCAAGCGGCGAGAGCGGCGAAGCAAGCAGCGAGAGCGACAGAGAAAGUGACGGACAGAUCAAGAAACAGAGUGUGUGAAGAGAGAGAGAUAUCAAAAGCAAUUACUACAGUUCAAGAUCUCACAUGGGAGGUCGAUAGGCUCUCGCACAUGGUGAGUUUAUAAGAGCUGCAAUAUUUUUUAUUUGUUUUUGUACGGAAAAAGGGAAUGACGGAUUGGUUUGAAUUGAUUUAUUUUUGCAAAAAUUAGAUUGUGCUUUCAAAGUUUCUAUAAAUGGAGGGAUGGAGGUUGCGGUGGAGGUUAUUGCUCAAAUUCGAUGGCAUCAAAGCAGAAAGGAAAUCUAGAGUACAAUGAUAACGCAGAGGUUAAUGUUUCAUCUCAUGCAUUCUUCAUUUGUCUGCAUCAACUAUGUUUACACAAUAAGAAUGUCAACAACAAUGGUAAACGAUAUGAAUCAGGUGUUUACGAUUAAUGACUACUGAGGCUUUCUGAUGAGGUGUGGUGAUAUGAUCAGUGACUAUAAAUAGUUCAUGUAUUGAUUAUAAAAUUUUUUUUAUUCAAAGCUUUCGUUUAUGGGAAUGAUUUUGAAUGCUGUUGUUAGAUUUUGUUUUAAUAAGUUCUUUUUAUUGAUUUUGUUUUGAUUCCUCUCCGUUUGAUCAUCUCCUUUAUGAUUUCCCCUUGGCUUGCUGUUCAUUUUCUAGGGUUCUUCACAGAAAUAUAAGAACAUUAAUGGCCAUUGAUUGAAUUUAGCAGCUACUAGCGUUAGAUGUAUUGUUCUCAAAGUUUAUUGAUGAACACAUCUUUGCCAGCUUCAUUUGGAUCCCCCUCGAGUUGGGGGUAGUUAAAAGAUCGUUUGUUUAUGUUGGAAUUGUUCAACAGAUUGAUACAAAAGGUUGGGUUUUCUUUUAAAAUUUGAUGAGUCAAUUCUAAGUUUGAUUCAAUAAGAAUAGUUAUUGCCUAUUGGCGUUGUUUUUAGGCUGUUUAGGCUUUGUUGCAGCUCAUGUGACUAAUUGUAAGUUGAUGCUUCUUUUUUGUCAGGGGUUUGAAAGGAUGACACAGUGGUAAAGAUGAAACUAUGGCAUCUCAAUGUCCCAGUCUCAUGGUUGAGAUAAUUAUAAUGCCGUAUAAGAUUAACUUCGUUAAUAUCAAUGCUUUGAUUAAUAUCUUGGAAGUUGGAACUAAUUCCGAAUAGCAAAGUUAUUCAGUUCUUUUUUAGGUCACCAAACUCAAAUAGAAAAAUUAACUUGAGAAAAUGAUGAAAAUACUAAAUUGGACAAAUUCAUAAUAACAAAAAUAGAGUAAUCAUUUUACGGAAUCGCGUUUUUAAAAUUUUAUGAUCCCGAAAUAAAUAAAUUUGAAUCCCAUGGGUACACGUAUACACACGAUAGACAUACGUUUAAAAAAAUUGACAAAUGCUUUGGUUCAAAAGUUAACUAAUUCAUAAACUAAACCAAUUGAUUAAGCAAACCAGGUCAUUGCAGUUUUAUUUUUUAAACAAAGAAUGCUUUGGUUCAAAAAUUCAGUAAUUCAUUAACUAAACGAAUAGGUUAAGCAAAUCGAGUAAAGUAAAUUUUGGUGUUAUAUAAUCUUUACUUUUUCAAAAAUGUAUAUCUAAAUAUUAAUAAAGAAAAAUUAUACUGACACAUCACUUUAUUUUAUUAUAUAUUUCAUAUUUAACAUUUAAAUUUUCUUAUUGAGAAUUUCGAAUGGAUUAUUUUAAUAAAUUAAAUAUAGUCUUUUCAUCAAAAUUAAAUCCUAAUAAUUUCUUAUAUUUUUAAGUAAGAACUUAUCUUUUAAACAAAUAUAAAUUCACUAACAUGUUAAAGUAACCUUAACAAAUCUUAAUGCUAUUUUUAUUUAAAAGUAAAUUAAUGAUUUAAAAUAAAUUUAUAAUAUUAGUUUAUUUAUCCGCCCGCCCGUAGGGCGGGUUUACCCUAGUUUUAUAUAUAAAAAGAAGGUUAUUCAUUAAUAAGCUAAGAAAAAUCCCCAUAUUAAUUGCUUAUCUGCACAUGUCGGGUUAUAACUUAUCACGUGUACAAUCAGUUUUGUUUCUGGAUUUUAUGUGUAGAAGCAGUUAGUAAUUAGUUAUCAUAGCAGAUGGCAGCUGAAUCUUUAGUCUACAAAUUUAUGAAACUUUGUGUAAAAAGAUAACGUUCAAAACUAAAUUAAUUUUGAACGCUUACUAGUACGAAUGAUUAUUAUAUUACUGGAUGAUUUACCACAAUGAUUUUGUGCUAAACUUAAAAAAUAAGAAGUUAAAACACAUAUACUCCCUCCAUUUCUAAAUAAUGAUAUUCUAGCACUUUUUACUUGUUUCUAAAAGAUCAAUAUUUUAGAUUUUCUAUGUAUUUUUAAUAAUGAAUUGUAAACUUCAAAAAAUAUUAAUUGACAAUUUUUGAUUUAUUGAAUGGCUACUGGUUUAAAUUUAUGAAAAAAAAUUCUUAAUAUUUGUGCAAAAUCUUAAACAUGCAUUAUUUAAAAACAGAGGGAAUAUUUCUUAUGUUCCUCAAUGAUGUAUGUUUAUAUGGUUUUACCCAUAUUUAACAUAAUAAAUUUUGAUAAGAAAAAAAUAUUAUCAAAUCCUGUUCCACAAGAUCCUAUAUCAGCUAUUUCAGUAUUUACAAAUUUUUCAUGAUUCUAAACCAAUAGUAUUUAAAAAAAGUACAAUUAGUUUCUUUUGAAAUUUAAAAUUCAAAAUUAAUAAAAUUUACAUAAAGUUUUUAAAUAUACAUCUUUUAAAAACAAGAUUUUAUUUUAAAAUAUUUAUAUUUUAGAAACAGAGAGAAUAUAUUGCAGAGUACCUUGUAAUCAUGAAGAUAGUAAUUUAAAAAUUCUUUGUGAACCACAAGUCUAUGGUAAUUUUCAAAUAUUAAGGACUUAUAUUUAUAAUAAAAACUAGAAAAUGAUUUA